AAUCUUCUGCAGGCAACUGGCUUUGGCAUGCUAUAUUCCGACAUCUUUUGUAUACAAAAACCUCAAUCAGGCAAGUCUGAGAAAGAUUCAUACUAUGAUGCAGGAAAAACUGAAUUCCACUAUUAAUAGCAACAAGAAUUUCCAGCUGAACUCGAUGAGCUUUAAUCAAUGUAUUAGCAGUCAAAUCAGACCUAGUCUGAACAAGCCUCUGUAAAAACAAAAGUUCAUCUCUUUGCUGAGGACCACCGUUCCCUUCAAGCAUCCCUCGAAGCCUACCUUUUAGCUCUUCUAAAUACUCAUUGGGGAGCAAAUACAUUUUUUCAGAUAUUAUAUCCACUUGUUCUCUAGCAAUAUCAAGAAGAGAAACCUUAUUUGCA
This 377-nucleotide unclassified non-coding RNA is filed under the name Hevea brasiliensis (rubber tree). The record is from RNAcentral. Lineage: Eukaryota; Viridiplantae; Streptophyta; Magnoliopsida; Malpighiales; Euphorbiaceae.